Molecule: ribosomal RNA, 504 nt
Filed under: uncultured bacterium
Lineage: Bacteria
Description: partial 16S ribosomal RNA
Rfam family: Bacterial small subunit ribosomal RNA
Source: RNAcentral
AUUGAACGCUGGCGGCACGCUUAACACAUGCAAGUCGAGCGGUAACAUGGUUAGUAGCAAUACUAAUUGAUGACGAGCGGCGGACGGGUGAGUAACACGUAGGAACCUGCACAGAAGCGGGGGACAACCAAGGGAAACUCUGGCUAAUACCGCGUAAUCUCGGUAGAGUAAAGCUGCCCGCAAGGGUGGCGCUUCUGGCGGGGCCUGCGUCGGAUUAGCUAGUUGGUGAGGUAAUGGCUCACCAAGGCUGUGAUCGGUAACUGGUCUGAGAGGACGACCAGUCACACUGGGACUGAGACACGGCCCAGACUCCUACGGGAGGCAGCAGUGGGGAAUCUUGGACAAUGGGGGCAACCCUGAUCCAGCGAUGCCGCGUGGGUGAAGAAGGCCUUCGGGUUGUAAAGCCCUUUAGGUUGGGAAGAAGUUCAUAGGCUGAAUGAUCUUAUGGAAUGACGGUACCAACAGAAUAAACACCGGCAAACUCUGUGCCAGCCGCCGCGGUAA